This is a long non-coding RNA of Vigna umbellata (rice bean), 371 nucleotides long. RefSeq lists it as uncharacterized. Lineage: Eukaryota; Viridiplantae; Streptophyta; Magnoliopsida; Fabales; Fabaceae. The record is from RefSeq and is a predicted model, not a curated record.
GGAAACUAUGAGUGGUGACUUACCUACUCUGGAAAUGAAACGAAAACAAUGGGAGGAGAAAGAGGUAGUGCAGAUUUGAGACUAUCACUUUCUACGAUUGAAAAUUUAGCAGGAGAUGCACAGAAAAAUUAUAGACAGAAUGAAUGGUCGGACGAAAGAGGUCAGCCCUUCAUAAAUUAAUAAAUGUACAUAUGUUAGAAUCCUAUAAAGAAGCAGGGAUUGGAUUUGGAGCUAAUGUUCAAUAACUUACCCCUUGGUUCUCUCUGUCGUUUGGCUUCUUCAAGAUGAAGUUGAUCCUAUGGUCUCUGUCAUGAAGGUUGAAGGCACAUUGGUGGUUUAGAUGCCCAGAUACAGGAAAUUAAAGAAGCAGU